Molecule: unclassified non-coding RNA, 217 nt
Filed under: Hevea brasiliensis (rubber tree)
Lineage: Eukaryota; Viridiplantae; Streptophyta; Magnoliopsida; Malpighiales; Euphorbiaceae
Source: RNAcentral
CUGGCAACCCAUGCAAAUUUCAAAGAGUUUGUCUUAACCGCUGGGUUGGAAUUCUAUCCUCUUGGGGGUGAUCCAGUAGUUUUGGCUGGAUAUAUGGUUAAAAAUAAGGGCUUCUUACCUUCUGCACCCUCAGAAAUUCCUGUUCAGAGAAAUCAAUUGAAGGAAAUUAUAAGUUCUCUACUCCCAGCUUGCGAAGAACCUGAUAUGGAUACUGGAG